UUGAGAUGAGCCUUACUACCUA
RNAcentral lists this non-coding RNA (22 nucleotides) under Rattus norvegicus (Norway rat). The record is from RNAcentral. Lineage: Eukaryota; Metazoa; Chordata; Mammalia; Rodentia; Muridae.